Molecule: non-coding RNA, 219 nt
Filed under: Solanum tuberosum (potato)
Lineage: Eukaryota; Viridiplantae; Streptophyta; Magnoliopsida; Solanales; Solanaceae
Description: Bacterial large subunit ribosomal RNA
Rfam family: Bacterial large subunit ribosomal RNA
Source: Rfam by way of RNAcentral
GGGGUACUAACUGUUUAUUUAAAACACAGAACUCUGCUAAAUGGUAACACGAUGUAUAGAAUCAGACACCUAUCCGGUGUUGGAAGGUCAAAGGAGAAGUAUUAUAAGUUUUGCAUGAAAAUCAUGAAAAACAACGACAAUAACUCUAAUUGUCCUAAGGUAAGUGAAAUUUCUUAUCGUAUAAGUAAUGACCUGCACGAAUGAUGUAACGACUGUCCU